GUUACAUGGUUAAAUUCUAAAUUUUAUAUUAAAACAAAGCUAGCACUAUAUGGUUCGUGCUUUCUAACCACAUGCAAUGCAACUGUUUUAUUGUUAAGCAUUACUGAAAAAGUGAGCAGUUACUAAAGUUUCCCUUCUCACUAUUUUUACUAGCGUACCAUGGAAGAGCUUGCUCAAGGCAUCAAAGCUAUAGUAGAAAAUUAAGGCCACCCAACCUUAUUCUCUCU
Molecule: non-coding RNA, 227 nt
Organism: Pelobates cultripes (western spadefoot toad)
Lineage: Eukaryota; Metazoa; Chordata; Amphibia; Anura; Pelobatidae
Source: the annotation of a GenBank genome assembly